AUUGAACGCUGGCGGCAGGCCUAACACAUGCAAGUCGAGCGGUAGAGAGGUGCUUGCAUCUCUUGAGAGCGGCGGACGGGUGAGUAAUGCCUAGGAAUCUGCCUAGUGGUGGGGGAUAACGUUCGGAAACGGACGCUAAUACCGCAUACGUCCUACGGGAGAAAGCGGGGGAUCUUCGGACCUCGCGCCAUUAGAUGAGCCUAGGUCGGAUUAGCUAGUUGGUGAGGUAAUGGCUCACCAAGGCGACGAUCCGUAACUGGUCUGAGAGGAUGAUCAGUCACACUGGAACUGAGACACGGUCCAGACUCCUACGGGAGGCAGCAGUGGGGAAUAUUGGACAAUGGGCGAAAGCCUGAUCCAGCCAUGCCGCGUGUGUGAAGAAGGUCUUCGGAUUGUAAAGCACUUUAAGUUGGGAGGAAGGGUAGUAACCUAAUACGUUGCUACUUUGACGUUACCGACAGAAUAAGCACCGGCUAACUUCGUGCCAGCAGCCG
This 494-nucleotide ribosomal RNA is filed under the name uncultured bacterium. RNAcentral's name for it is "bacterial SSU rRNA". It matches the Rfam family "Bacterial small subunit ribosomal RNA", at positions 30 to 517 of the family's 1533-position model. The record is from RNAcentral.